AUUCCCUUUGCUAACUCCAGGGGCCUCAGAUAUAGUGUGGUGCCCUGGCAUUAUACAGGGAUAGAUUUAAAGGCUUUCCUCCCUCCCUGACUGGACUUGUAUUCCUUUUGGGGCCUAUAUGUGAGCCAACAGA
Small nucleolar RNA from Polyodon spathula (Mississippi paddlefish), 133 nucleotides. RefSeq annotates it as small nucleolar RNA SNORA49. The record is from RefSeq and is a predicted model, not a curated record. The transcript has a single exon. Lineage: Eukaryota; Metazoa; Chordata; Actinopteri; Acipenseriformes; Polyodontidae.